GAUGAACGCUGGCGGCGUGCCUAAUACAUGCAAGUCGAGCGAACGGACGAGAAGCUUGCUUUUCUGAUGUUAGCGGCGGACGGGUGAGUAACACGUGGAUAACCUACCUAUAAGACUGGGAUAACUUCGGGAAACCGGAGCUAAUACCGGAUAAUAUUUUGAACCGCAUGGUUCAUAAGUGAAAGACGGUCUUGCUGUCACUUAUAGAUGGAUCCGCGCUGCAUUAGCUAGUUGGUAAGGUAACGGCUUACCAAGGCAACGAUGCAUAGCCGACCUGAGAGGGUGAUCAGCCACACUGGAACUGAGACACGGUCCAGACUCCUACGGGAGGCAGCAGUAGGGAAUCUUCCGCAAUGGGCGAAAGCCUGACGGAGCAACGCCGCGUGAGUGAUGAAGGUCUUCGGAUCGUAAAACUCUGUUAUUAGGGAAGAACAUAUGUGUAAGUAACUGUGCACAUCUUGACGGUACCUAAUCAGAAAGCCACGGCUAACUACGUG
Molecule: ribosomal RNA, 497 nt
Filed under: uncultured bacterium
Lineage: Bacteria
Description: partial 16S ribosomal RNA
Rfam family: Bacterial small subunit ribosomal RNA
Source: RNAcentral